Molecule: ribosomal RNA, 384 nt
Filed under: uncultured bacterium
Lineage: Bacteria
Description: bacterial SSU rRNA
Rfam family: Bacterial small subunit ribosomal RNA
Source: RNAcentral
AAUCAACGCUGGCGGCGUGCCUAACACAUGCAAGUCGAACGCGAGAGGGCUUCGGCCCCGAUUGAGUGGCGAACGGGUGAGUAACGCGUGGGUGACCUACCUUCGAGUGGGGGAUAACGUCCCGAAAGGGACGCUAAUACCGCAUAACAUCCUGCUUUUGAAUGGGUGAGAUCAAAGCCGGGGAUCGCAAGACCUGGCGCUUGAUGAGGGGCCCGCGUCUGAUUAGCUAGUUGGGAGGUAACGGCCCACCAAGGCAACGAUCAGUAUCCGGCCUGAGAGGGCGGACGGACACACUGGGACUGAGACACGGCCCAGACUCCUACGGGAGGCAGCAGUGGGAAUUGUCGCAAUGGGCNCAAGCCUGACGACGCAACGCCGCGUGGA